RNAcentral lists this long non-coding RNA (1003 nucleotides) under Phasianus colchicus (ring-necked pheasant). Its description in RNAcentral is "lncRNA (ENSPCLG00000003489.1)". Lineage: Eukaryota; Metazoa; Chordata; Aves; Galliformes; Phasianidae. The record is from RNAcentral.
UUUUCUGUACUGGUUUGCAGUAUCUUAUGAGGCAAAAAGACCCACAAAUCCAUGUCCUUAACCAAAUUUACCUUUGCCUUGAUGGCUAUGUGUUUAUAACAUCUAAACGGCACCCAAAAUAAGUAAUGUGCAGCUACAGCUGCAGUGUCAGAAAGCUGUAUCUGUGUGCCAAAAUGCUGUCUUUCUGGAGGGAGUUGGUAUUGUAGGCCUUUUAGUGUGGGAACUUUAAUAACCACACCUUGCUAAAUCUCACGUCAUUGCCUGUACUCCAGGUUCACGUUGUUUUAGCUUUUUGAAGGAGUGUUGCAAGUCUCUGUAUUCUGGCCAACUCCAACACAAGCAUUGGUAUUCUGCCCACCCAACCUGCUCUGUUGUUGUAGGAGUUGCCCUUUGCAGACUCUGCUAAUGUGUUCCCUUCCAGAAGGAAACAGCCCCCAUGACUGCAGGCCCACAUCUUACUAAUCUAAAGCUCUGGCAAUCCACAGAGACUGGUUUGCUAUUGCAGAGAAAUGCUCCUCCUUCCUCCAAGCAACCCUGGGUGAUGACACCUGCGUUGGGUAUCCUGAAACUGCUGCCUCUCUGGUGGAAGAGGAGCAUCCACCCAUGAAAUACUCCUGGAGUAACACCACAACCAGUCCCCAGUUACAUGCUGAAUGCCUGGAAGUCCUAACCCAUGCCACAGGCCUGCCAGAGGAAAUUUUUGAAGUCCAGCAGAACCUGAGAUGGGAUGUAAGCUGGAAAGGUAAUAAUCACACCCAUCUGGCUGAGGAUGCCUUGAAAUGAAGCAUGGCAGCUAUGGGAAAGAAGAAAGAAAAUGUUGAUGUGGAGACUGCCCUUCAACACCUCCUUCUUCUGCCAAAAUGCAACAGCAACGUGAUUUCUGGAGUGGUGUACAAAAUGGAGAUCAUUCCAAAAGCAACCUGUGAUAGGAUCCACUCUUGUCCACAUGAAAUCAUAGCUGCAGCACAGAGCAGUGAGGUAAGUUCUGGAUUUUGGACUGUUU